AUUUUGCCCUCUGGUCCCAAUGCCUGAUGGGUUCCCCUGGGAUAUUUUGCCCAGGGCUCGUUCCGGGGGACAGGUCGCGUGCUGAACCUUUUGGAUCCUGAGCGGACGUACCUGGAGAACCCUGGGGAUGGGAGAGCUAAGGCCCCGGGGGACCCAUCGACUCCCUUCGAGCAAGUGCGGAGCCCGGCGGAGCGUCCCGGACACCGCGUCCGGCUCCCCACUCCACGGGCCGAAUCAGCUGCCGUCUGCGCCCCCGCGCGCCGCCCCCGGGGAGGUGCGUUAAUCACAAGUGAGUGCGACCUUGCAGCUGUGAUAAAUGCUAUAGAGAAGAAGCACAUUUUGCCGUGAGAGAGAUGUCACCUGACCAGGAUGGUCAGGGAGACGUUUUCUUCUGAGGAGAGCUGAGAGCUAAACAAUGACUUUGAGUUUUGGUUGGAGACUUCUGGAAAGGGCACAGGUACUCCAGGAAGACUAAUGUAUAGCCCCA
This 487-nucleotide long non-coding RNA is filed under the name Equus caballus (horse). Its description in RNAcentral is "lncRNA (ENSECAG00000044934.1)". The record is from RNAcentral. Lineage: Eukaryota; Metazoa; Chordata; Mammalia; Perissodactyla; Equidae.